CCUACGGGAGGCAGCAGUGGGGAAUAUUGCACAAUGGGGGAAACCCUGAUGCAGCGACGCCGCGUGAAUGAAGAAGUAUUUCGGUAUGUAAACUUCUAUCAGCAGGGAAGAAAAUGACGGUACCUGACUAAGAAGCCCCGGCUAACUACGUGCCAGCAGCCGCGGUAAUACGUAGGGGGCAAGCGUUAUCCGGAUUUACUGGGUGUAAAGGGAGCGUAGGCGGUUUAGCAAGUCUGAAGUGAAAGCCCGGGGCUCAACUCCGGGACUGCUUUUGAAACUGUUGAACUAGAGUGCAGGAGAGGUAAGUGGAAUUCCUAGUGUAGCGGUGAAAUGCGUAGAUAUUAGGAGGAACACCAGUGGCGAAGGCGGCUUACUGGACUGUAAAUGACGCUGAGGCUCGAAAGCGUGGGGAGCAAACAGGAUUAGAUACCCUUGUAGUC
Molecule: ribosomal RNA, 440 nt
Filed under: uncultured bacterium
Lineage: Bacteria
Description: partial 16S ribosomal RNA
Rfam family: Bacterial small subunit ribosomal RNA
Source: RNAcentral